UACGUAGGGUCCGAGCGUUGUCCGGAAUUAUUGGGCGUAAAGGGCUCGUAGGCGGUUUGUCGCGUCGGGAGUGAAAACACGGGGCUUAACCCCGUGCCUGCUUCCGAUACGGGCAGACUAGAGGUAUGCAGGGGAGAACGGAAUUCCUGGUGUAGCGGUGAAAUGCGUAGAUAUCGGGAGGAACACCAGUGGCGAAGGCGGCUUCCUGGCCUGUUCUUGACGCUGAGGCGCGAAAGCUAGGGGAGCAAACGGG
RNAcentral lists this ribosomal RNA (253 nucleotides) under uncultured bacterium. RNAcentral describes it as "partial 16S ribosomal RNA". It matches the Rfam family "Bacterial small subunit ribosomal RNA", at positions 524 to 776 of the family's 1533-position model. The record is from RNAcentral.